CUCAAAGCGACCCUUCUUGGGUGGCAUGUUUCUAAAUUCGACUCUUUGGGAUUGGCAACAGGAAGACUAGAUAUCGUGCCCUAAUAGAAGACGGACCUCAUCAGUCAUCCCCCUCUCCGAGAUAGGAGUAAUUUGGUUUGGUCUACAAUCUCCGAUCCGAAGUUCUCUGUUGCGCGAAAUUUCGCGGGAGAAAUUGAAGCCAGGAGCGGAGAUGGCCGGCCGCUUGUUGAUUCAGAAGCUCUCCUCCGGGGUGUACAUCAGAUCGACAGGACGCCUUGGCAUGGCCGUCGCCCCGGUCACACGCACUGCUUCGGAAGGUGGCGUUAGUACCUUGAGCAAUUUCUUCCACCGAGUUGCACUUCAUCCUGGCAUGGCGGUAACCAGUAGCAGUAGGAUUCAGGGCUAUUUAAGUAGCUAUCUUUUCUUCUUCACUCUGCCUUUAAUUGCUGACGUUGAUCUAUUUUACAAAUAACGAACUUUUCCCCAAUAAAACCAGCAAACUGUUUUAGUGUCAGCACUUACAUCAAUCACACAACUAAGUUCCACCUGAGGUACUUGUUAUGAACACUCAACUGAUCAGUAAAACGAGCUCCGAUUGCACUUAUGAGCCAUCCACCCACAUAAUCCUUGGAGCUUCUUGCACCUUCUGCUCCAUUGUCUCAUAUAAAGAUCCAUCUGCACAUUAGUACAAUCCAAUUCAGCAACAUUUUAAAAGACAGCAUUUACAAUUGGUUCCAUAACAAUUGUCCUCCUAGGAAGGCAUCAUCAGAACCCUCGACAAUCUUUUCCAUGUAGUUGGUCUUCAUAUUACAGGCAUGGAUGCUCCCAAUAAUCAUUGAUUACAUUGGUACUAAAUUUUCUUUGCGUUAUGUACUCCUUCCGUCCCAAAAUAUGAGGCACAUAUUGUUUCAUUAGGAGAUGACUUACAAGUUACAAUUGCUCUACUAUGUCACUUAGGUCAUGCAAAAUCAUAAUCAUAAGUAAGUACUUUGAAACAUGAAUCUAAUAACAUUGUUUUCGGAUCACAAAGUUAGUUGGUUCAUCUCAAGCUGGCUUAGACAUCUUCUACUCCCGUCGUUCCAAAUUACGAUUCACUUUAGGUUCACCCUAAGUCAAAGUUGUCUAACCUUGACCAAAUUUUUUGAAAGAUAUAAUAACAUCUAUGAUACCAAAUUUAUUUUAUUGAAUCCACCAUGGAAUAUAUUUUGAUAGGGAUUUUAUUUGUUAUGGUAGAUAUUAUUAUAUUUUAUAAGCUUUAUCCAAGUUAGACAAGUUUGACGUAGGAUAGGACAACCCCAAGGUGAACAGUAAUUUAGGAUGGAGGGAGUAAUAGAUUAAUCAUUGGUCAAAGGCUUGUCGUAACAAAGUAAAACACGCCUUAUAUUUGGGGGAGGAGGGAGUAUUAUUUAGUGGACAAAUUUCUUUGCUUUGUGGGGUUUUCUUCAGAUUCUCUAUCCCUUGUAUCUUUGAGGAUUUAAGAUGUAAGUGUAACAAAGGUUUUAUCAGUAUUAUCCUGCGUAGUCUAUGGAAAGAAAUAUCUAUAUCAAGUGUGUUUCUGACUUCUAAUCCUGCCUAAUGCAGGCUGUAAGGUACUUCAGCAUAGUCCCCUGCUCCCAUGCUGAAGUUAAAACAAUCUGGCCAAUGAAGCGGGCUUUUUCGUCCAGUUCAUUCAACAAGCAUAAGGUUUCAUCUGAACCUAAAAUGACACCUCGGUGAAUUAGUGUAGCUGACUCACUCCGAAGGCUCCAAUGGAGCCGCUCAAUUCAUGUCCGUGAUGAUUUCCUCACUAUCAAAGCAAUGGAGGGCGACCACAGCUAUCUAGGAAGUCGCGAGGCCUAUGGUGCCAGCUACUACGGCCAGAUGCUCUGGAGAGCAGUGUGGACUGAGAUGCCACGGCAGGCAGGCGGCAUGGGAAGCGUGAGGCUGUAGCAGGAUGCCGAAAUUGCCGACGCCGACGAUCGGGCGACGGCAGCUUGCUCUCUGGCUCUCCCUCACUCUCAGCCGUGCGAGCACACCUCGAGCUUCCAAGAAAACUUUGGCCCGGAGUGGAUGCAAAAAUUCCUGCGUUUUGUUGAGCAAAGGAAAGGAAACCUUUCCAUAGGAACGGGAAGCAAAAAACAUGUUCACCAAUCCUUUGAAAUUCCUUUGGAAAUACUCCGUUCCAAACAAGCCCGAAGGAAACGUUGAAUCUUCCUUGCACGUCCGACUGUCAGCAACAUGGAAAGGAUUCAGACAUUCAGCUAUACAGGUAGGAUGGAUUUGGAUGUCUUGGGGGAUUUCCUGGCAUUCUUGGUAAUCAAGCGACUCGUGUGGCACGGUAGACAUCAAGUCAGCAAGGCGUCCCUUCGAAUGAGCAAUUGAGUACUCGAUGUCCUCAACAUCAAGCAAGAGUUGGUGCUGCAAGCGCCUUGGAUGUCCAACUGUCCGGUUCUCGACUUCUCGUCUUCGGCCGGCGUCCUUGCAGAGGCCGCAAGGGCGUCGAUCAAAUGCUGUUUCCUGCUAUGAUUAAGUGAAGCUUUGUGGUCUUUUCUAAUUUAAAAUGGGGUGCUACUUUCGUAUUGAAGAGCCCUCUCAGAACUGAAUCAUAACUAUCUGAGGUCCAACAAGGUCCCAUUUUCCUCAUUAUCCAAUCCGCAAUCUUCAGAGUUCUGAUCAUAUGUAGCACAAGACAUCGUCUUGGUAUCAAAAAAGGCUCAUUUGCCUCGGUCAUUCGCUUCAUUCCAACUGAUGACUUCUCUUUUUUUUCCCCUUAUGAGUGACCAAAUACUGAUUCUGCCCAGCAGUUGCACAACCA
Long non-coding RNA from Setaria italica (foxtail millet), 2794 nucleotides. RefSeq lists it as uncharacterized. NCBI's taxonomy places the organism in Eukaryota, Viridiplantae, Streptophyta, Magnoliopsida, Poales, Poaceae. The record is from RefSeq and is a predicted model, not a curated record. The transcript has 7 exons.